RNAcentral lists this ribosomal RNA (572 nucleotides) under Asterionellopsis glacialis. RNAcentral describes it as "partial Bacterial large subunit ribosomal RNA". It matches the Rfam family "Bacterial large subunit ribosomal RNA", at positions 3 to 528 of the family's 2925-position model. The record is from RNAcentral. Lineage: Eukaryota; Bacillariophyta; Plagiogrammaphyceae; Rhaphoneidales; Asterionellopsidaceae.
CCAAGUUGUUAAGGGCACACGGUGGAUGCCUGGGCACCAGGAGCCGAUGAAGGACGUAGGAGGCUGCGAUAAGCCUCGGGGAGCUGUCAACCGAGCGUUGAUCCGAGGAUUUCCGAAUGGGGGAACCCCGCACCAGUCAUGUGGUGUGACCCGCGCCUGAACACAUAGGGCGUGUGGAGGGAACGUGGGGAAGUGAAACAUCUCAGUACCCACAGGAAGAGAAAACAACCGUGAUUCCGUGAGUAGUGGCGAGCGAAAGCGGAUGAGGCUAAACCGAUCGCAUGUGAUAGCCGGCAGGCGUUGUGUGGUCGGGGUCGUGGGACCGUUCCGUAUCCUCUGCCGAGGGUGCAGGGAGUAAGAAAAAGCUGGGUUAGUGGAAGGCCUCUGGAAGGGGUCGCCGUAGAGGGUGAGAGCCCCGUACACGAAAACUCAGCUUCUCCCGAACGUUAUCCCAAGUAGCACCGAGCCCGUGAAAUUCGGUGUGAAUCUGGCGGGACCACCCGCUAAGCCUGAAUACUCCCUGGUGACCGAUAGCGGACAAGUACCGUGAGGGAAAGGUGAAAAGUACCCCG